This 1206-nucleotide long non-coding RNA is filed under the name Capra hircus (goat). RNAcentral's name for it is "lncRNA (ENSCHIG00010020532.1)". Lineage: Eukaryota; Metazoa; Chordata; Mammalia; Artiodactyla; Bovidae. The record is from RNAcentral.
UUUGUAGUUUGUGUCAAGCCACCAAUGGUCUCCUGUUUUGCUGCUUUUCCUCUGUCUUCUUUCCCAUUGAUUAAUUGCUUGUCUUCAUCUGUCACUGAGAUAGGUUCAGGACAGUUUAAUGUCAGUUCACGCUGCACUUGACUGAACGCCUUUCCUCUGGAGUCCUUGCCUCCUGCUCCCUCUUGUAUUGUUGUUGACUUCAUCUUCCUGUCCUUUUCAGUCACGCAGCAUGCUUGGCGUAGUUUUUGAUGGUUCCCUUUCUUUCUCAUAGGUUAGUCUCAGGUUUCCCUUUCUUUUAUAACCUCUUUAGAGUUUUGUUUGUUUGUUUGGGGGUUUUGUUUUUUGAUGUGGCUGUUUUGAUUUUUAAUUCAUCAGAGAUGGGUUUUUUUGUAUGCUUAUGGUGUAGGCGUGGUGCUGGCUGGCAGAUCUGAAUGGCAAGUGACAGACUUAACACCAUGAGUAAAACAGAGAUGCAGAGAAUUCUGGUUAAGUUCAGUGAAUUUCAAGAAGAAAAUAUUUUUCCUUUUUAAUUUUAAUGGCAGUCUUAGCUGGAGAAAAUAUCUCUGAGAGGCAUGAUGUAGAGCAGAGUGAGCAAACUUCUUCUAUAAAGGGUGAGAUAUUAAAUAUUUAAGGGUUUAUAGGCCAUAAGGUCUCUGUCUCAAACAUUUAACUUUGUCUUUGUAGCCUUAGACAAUAUGUAAACAAAGGAAUGUGACCAUAUACCCAUAAAAUGUUAUUUACAGAAGCAGGUGAUGUUUGGGCUGGAUUUGGCCCCAGGGUUAUGAUAAAGAGUAUACACUUAGGGUGAAGUGGUAAUCCAUAUUGAUUCAUGUUUGGAAUAACUUUGUUUAUUUUUUAAUUUUGGAGGCUAUCUUCUUAGGUCUGGUUAAUUUUUAAAAACACUCUGGUUAAAGAAGGCCUGUGAGAGGAAUAGAGGAAGUGUUAUCUCUGCCAUUCUUUGGUUCACUUAUGGUUGCGUUAUUGGCAUUAUCUUUAUUGCAUAGUUUUUUUUUAAGGUAUCUUUUAAAGCCACUUACUCAUUUUUGUAUGCUUCAGUAGUUAAAAAUGUAUAUAGUUGUACCGCAUGAAUGUANNNNNNNNNNNNNNNCUGUACACUCAGAAUGGUUUAAAUGGUAAAUUGUAUGUUAUGUAUAUUUUACAACAGUUUAAACAUUUUGAUGUAAAUCCACUUGUUGUUAUGGAACA